UUUGUCAGCUUCUCGCGCAGCGAAGAUUGCGUCGAUUGGAGUCUGGCGUUGGGUUCGCGUCCACAAAAGUCCACCACGACUUGACCUCGGAUCAGGUAGGGAUACCCGCUGAACUUAAGCAUAUCAAUAAGCGGAGGAAAAGAAACCAACAGGGAUUGCCCUAGUAACGGCGAGUGAAGCGGCAACAGCUCAAAUUUGAAAUCUGACUCCUUUGGGUGUCCGAGUUGUAAUUUGCAGAGGGUGCUUUGGUGUUGUCGGCGGUCUAAGUUCCUUGGAACAGGACAUCACAGAGGGUGAGAAUCCCGUUUGUGGUCGCCAGCCUUCGCCGUGUAAAGCCCCUUCGACGAGUCGAGUUGUUUGGGAAUGCAGCUCUAAAUGGGAGGUAAAUUUCUUCUAAAGCUAAAUACCGGCCAGAGACCGAUAGCGCACAAGUAGAGUGAUCGAAAGAUGAAAAGCACUUUGGAAAGAGAGUCAAAAAGCACGUGAAAUUGUUGAAAGGGAAGCGCUUGCAGCCAGACUUGCCCGUAGUUGCUCACCCGGACUUUUGCCCGGGGUACUCUUCUGCGGGCAGGCCAGCGUCAGUUUGGGCGGUUGGAUAAAGGCCUCUGUCAUGUAUCUCCCUUCGGGGUGACCUUAUAGGGGAGGCGUAAUGCAGCCAGCCCGGACUGAGGUCCGCGC
Molecule: ribosomal RNA, 678 nt
Filed under: Dothideomycetes sp. genotype 755 JMUR-2016
Lineage: Eukaryota; Fungi; Ascomycota; Dothideomycetes
Description: eukaryotic LSU rRNA
Rfam family: Eukaryotic large subunit ribosomal RNA (bases 82-678)
Source: RNAcentral